Long non-coding RNA from Eubalaena glacialis (North Atlantic right whale), 175 nucleotides. RefSeq lists it as uncharacterized. The transcript has 3 exons. The record is from RefSeq and is a predicted model, not a curated record. Lineage: Eukaryota; Metazoa; Chordata; Mammalia; Artiodactyla; Balaenidae.
GUGAGGCGAUGGUUGGAGCACUUGAUCUUUUCUUCCAUUAAAGGAUAAACAUUAUUGCUGCUCACAAGAAAACUUGAAUCAUGAUGUUCUUGGACAUUGAUGGGAAUGUCUAAUAAAGGACUGUCAUUGAUAGAGCUUGGAUUUGUCACAGGGUCCUUCUACCCAGAUAACGGUG